GAUUGUGAGAGCAAUCUGGCUGUGACAUCUGUCACCCCAUUGAUCAUCAGGGUUGAUUCAGCUGAUCUGGCUGGCUAGGCGGGUGUCUCCUUCCUCCCUCACUGCUCCAUGUGCAUCUCUACUGAAGCAGCGCUCCAUUGAAGAGGAAGGCCUUCCUUGAAUAGAGGCAGACUUGUCUUCUCUUGAGGGUAUACAGGUAUGUGCACUCUCCUGCUAGAACUUUUAAACAAGAAAAAAAAAAAAACUUAAGAUCGUCAUCUGUCAGUUAUUUCAGAAACAGGAAUGAUAUUCAGAACGUAAAAUAUCUUUCUAU
RNAcentral lists this small nuclear RNA (313 nucleotides) under Erinaceus europaeus (western European hedgehog). RNAcentral describes it as "7SK RNA". It matches the Rfam family "7SK RNA". Rfam says of the family: 7SK was discovered as an abundant small nuclear RNA in the mid-70s but a possible function has only recently been suggested. Two independent studies have found that 7SK RNA binds the CDK9/cyclin T complex (known as elongation factor P-TEFb). The record is from Rfam by way of RNAcentral. Lineage: Eukaryota; Metazoa; Chordata; Mammalia; Eulipotyphla; Erinaceidae.